Molecule: long non-coding RNA, 852 nt
Organism: Chinchilla lanigera (long-tailed chinchilla)
Lineage: Eukaryota; Metazoa; Chordata; Mammalia; Rodentia; Chinchillidae
Exons: 4
Source: RefSeq, a predicted model, not a curated record
CCGGGCAGGGUGGGGCGGGGCGGGGCGCGCGCGAGCCGCGUCGGGCGCUACGUCACACCGUCACACCGUGCGUUGGGCGCGGUGAGGGGGCGACAGUUCCGGCUGGCGGGGGUGUGGCGGCGGACCGUGGAGGAAGCGGGAGCUGGGGAACAAACCCAGGACACUGUGUGUGCUAGGAUGUCACUCCAGCCCUGAGCUACACCUGUGGCUUUUGAAAUGGGAAUAAAUUGGAAGCAAAAGACCUCGCGUGGAAAAAUUUUCAAUUUUUUAAUAGCUGCAGUAUCAUGGUCAUCACGCUGCUCUUCAAAAUCUUCAUCUUCCUCAGCUGUUAGAGGAUCAUCCCCAUCAAGGUUGCAGCAGGAAUCUGGUCUGACUGAGGCUUCUUUGACACUGAAGAAGAGGUCCUGUGGAGGACCCAUGUGUGGAAGAGCUUGAGAGCCAUCUGCUCGCUGCAGAUUCGAAGGGGCCAGUGAAGGUGACAGCUCAGUGUCCUCUGCGAGUCCGAGGGGUCUGCAACAGAAGCCAGGAGAUGACGUCCAAGGUGAAGGUGAAGACUUCAGCUUCUCGGUGAAACAGAGCGAGGCUUCAUUCUUGGCUUCCCACUUACACCAUUCUGGCCAUGAGACGCCCUAGGGUGGGCCCUCUGUCCUCAGUAAAUCCCCAGCCACACCCAGAGCCCUGCUGCUCUGAUUUAGUCGGGCAAUUCUUACUCAAGCAGUGAACUGUCACAUGUGGGUUGUAUUUAAUUUACAUAAAUUAAAUUUCCACAUACAUAUAUUUCUGUAUGCUUAGGACACAGGAACCUCAUCCCCAAAGGACUGUAACAGCCAUAAAGAAGGAACUCAUUCUUUA